GACGAACGCUGGCGGCGUGCUUAACACAUGCCAGUCGAACGGUGAAGGGAUCAGCUUGCUGGUUCUGGAUGAGUGGCGAACGGGUGAGUAACACGUGAGUAACCUGCCCCCUUCUUCUGGAUAACCGCAUGAAAGUGUGGCUAAUACGGGAUAUUCUGCGCCUGCUGCAUGGUGGGUGUGGGAAAGAUAUUGUUUCGGUGGGGGAUGGGCUCGCGGCCUAUCAGCUUGUUGGUGGGGUGAUGGCCUACCAAGGCGGUGACGGGUAGCCGGCCUGAGAGGGUGGACGGUCACACUGGGACUGAGACACGGCCCAGACUCCUACGGGAGGCAGCAGUGGGGAAUAUUGCACAAUGGGCGCAAGCCUGAUGCAGCGACGCCGCGUGAGGGAGGGAGGCCUUCGGGUUGUGAACCUCUUUCGCCAGUGAAGCAGGCCUGUCCCUUGUGGGUGGGUUGACGGUAGCUGGAUAAGAAGCGCCGGCUAACUACGUG
RNAcentral lists this ribosomal RNA (489 nucleotides) under uncultured bacterium. RNAcentral's name for it is "partial 16S ribosomal RNA". It matches the Rfam family "Bacterial small subunit ribosomal RNA", at positions 28 to 507 of the family's 1533-position model. The record is from RNAcentral.